GCGACAAAAUGUUCCUCGUUUUCCUCUUUUGGCCUAACCCCUCCUUUUUUUGUUCCAAACUUCCCAAAUUUCAAUGCUUCAGAGCUACUAAGUAGGACAGGAACGAUAAUCGGCCUUCCCUCAAUCGACAUUAGGGUUUGAAAUGCUUCCAACAAAUCUGUUUUCUUGUUCAACACUUUGCGGUCAACUGCCACCUAAUUUUUUCAACUCUCGAGUAAAUCAGAUGCAGAUUCAACUUAAAUCAAGGAAGGUUGUGCAAAAGCUAGAUAAAGGUCUCAGAGAAAUAAAGAAGUUUUUAGGAGAAAGAUGAUUUUAGAGAUCCUAGUUGGUAAAUGGACGUCAGUCAAGGCAAUUCCAUCAAAGAGAAAACAAGUGGAAGGAACUCACAAAAGAGAAAUAAGUUACAACAUUGAUUAGAUUGCAUAGUACUUUUCAAGAUAAUCACAUUUUUAUUGUAGAACAUAUUAGUUCAUCAUAAAUGCGACAAAAAAUAGUCUUUGUCCCAAAUUGCCUCAUCAGUAAUACAGUAUUUUUUUUUACUAUUGAA
This is a long non-coding RNA of Nicotiana tabacum (common tobacco), 547 nucleotides long. RefSeq lists it as uncharacterized. Lineage: Eukaryota; Viridiplantae; Streptophyta; Magnoliopsida; Solanales; Solanaceae. The record is from RefSeq and is a predicted model, not a curated record.